RNAcentral lists this ribosomal RNA (253 nucleotides) under uncultured bacterium. Its description in RNAcentral is "partial 16S ribosomal RNA". It matches the Rfam family "Bacterial small subunit ribosomal RNA", at positions 524 to 776 of the family's 1533-position model. The record is from RNAcentral.
UACGAAGGGUGCAAGCGUUAAUCGGAAUUACUGGGCGUAAAGCGUGCGUAGGUGGUUUGUUAAGUCUGCUGUGAAAGCCCCGGGCUCAACCUGGGAAUGGCGAUGGAUACUGGCUCGCUAGAGUGCGGUAGAGGAGAGUGGAAUUCCCGGUGUAGCAGUGAAAUGCGUAGAGAUCGGGAGGAACAUCAGUUGCGAAGGCGGCUCUCUGGACCAGCACUGACACUGAGGCACGAAAGCGUGGGGAGCAAACAGG